Molecule: ribosomal RNA, 428 nt
Filed under: uncultured bacterium
Lineage: Bacteria
Description: partial 16S ribosomal RNA
Rfam family: Bacterial small subunit ribosomal RNA
Source: RNAcentral
UGGGGAAUUUUGGACAAUGGGCGAAAGCCUGAUCCAGCAAUGCCGCGUGUGUGAAGAAGGCCUUCGGGUUGUAAGCACUUUUGUCCGGAAAGAAAUCCUUGGCUCUAAUACAGUCGGGGGAUGACGGUACCGGAAGAAUAAGCACCGGCUAACUACGUGCCAGCAGCCGCGGUAAUACGUAGGGUGCAAGCGUUAAUCGGAAUUACUGGGCGUAAAGCGUGCGCAGGCGGUUUGCUAAGACCGAUGUGAAAUCCCCGGGCUAACCUGGGAACUGCAUUGGUGACUGGCAGGCUAGAGUAUGGCAGAGGGGGUAGAAUUCCACGUGUAGCAGUGAAAUGCGUAGAGAUGUGGAGGAAUACCGAUGGNGAAGGCAGCCCCCUGGGCAAUACUGACGCUCAUGCACGAAAGCGUGGGGAGCAAACAGGAUU